Molecule: small RNA, 963 nt
Filed under: Cryptococcus neoformans H99
Lineage: Eukaryota; Fungi; Basidiomycota; Tremellomycetes; Tremellales; Cryptococcaceae
Description: Cryptococcus neoformans var. grubii H99 hypothetical RNA
Source: RNAcentral
CCCACUUGAAUAUCUGUAAACAAGAUCUCACAAUUAAUGCCCACGAGGCCGGGUUUCAAGCAGCUACUGCCACGGCCAUACCCCACAUCACUUCCCGGCAUACAACUCUCCUUUCUCUCCCCACACUCCCGGCCCCAUCCGACAUCUCCUCGACCAUCUCCUCUCUCCCUCCAUCUCUUCCCGAACAAGGCCUAGGCACAGACUAGACUAAAUUCUAUCUUCUUUCCUCCCUCAUUCCGGAUAUUCCCAAUCCCAAAAUGGCCCUCGGUAUUUUGGUUUCGUCACUGGUGGUGUUACAUCAGCUGCGCAACUGGAGGACAUGCUAAUCACGGGUUACGAUGGGAACGUACAGGUACUAGGAGGAAAGACUGCUAACACUGCUGUGGAAAAGGUGGGCAUCGGGGAUGGUAUUGGAUUUGUUGAAUAUUGAGAGAAUCACAUUCUUGGGAAGAACAAUCUCUUCGGGUGCCAUAGCAUCCAAUAUGCUGGGGCUUGGUGACCCUCGAUCUCGAAAUGGAUGCUAUCAGUAAUUGAACAAAUCCAGCAUGCGCUCAAUAUUAUAUUUACGACCAUUCUCCACAUUUACCGCGCAAUUAUUAUUACGCCCAAUCUGGUCCCCCUUCAAACCUGCAUAUCCCAUCUAAUAUGGAACCAUGUUAUCAUUCUUUCCUUUCACCCACACUUCACCAUCGCCAAAGCCACCACCUUUGUAUGUCUUGGUGGCGGCCCAUCUAUCCUUCGGAGCAUGCCUUAUACUUCGGUGAUGAGCUCGCAAUUGAUCUUGAGAAGUUUGAAGACCGAAUGAAGGCCGGGGAGCAAGUUGAGAGGGAGGUAAUUAUCGUCUAAGAAAUUGAAAAGGUGAACAUAGGUGGCUUUGGAAGGGGAUUAGGAGAUGUAGUCAGACUUUGUCAUGAAUAUGGCGCAUGGCUGCACGUUGAUGCUGAUGAAUAGUUUGCUAGUUUG